GACGAACGCUGGCGGCGUGCCUAACACAUGCAAGUCGAACGGAAAGGCCCCCUUGUGGGGUACUCGAGUGGCGAACGGGUGAGUAACACGUGAGUAACCUACCCUUGACUUUGGGAUAACUUCAGGAAACUGGGGCUAAUACCGGAUAGGAGCUCCUGCUGCAUGGUGGGGGUUGGAAAGUUUCGGCGGUUGGGGAUGGACUCGCGGCUUAUCAGCUUGUUGGUGGGGUAGUGGCUCACCAAGGCUUUGACGGGUAGCCGGCCUGAGAGGGUGACCGGCCACAUUGGGACUGAGAUACGGCCCAGACUCCUACGGGAGGCAGCAGUGGGGAAUAUUGCACAAUGGGCGGAAGCCUGAUGCAGCAACGCCGCGUGCGGGAUGACGGCCUUCGGGUUGUAAACCGCUUUCGCCUGUGACGAAGCGUGAGUGACGGUAAUGGGUAAAGAAGCACCGGCUAACUACGUG
This 465-nucleotide ribosomal RNA is filed under the name uncultured bacterium. RNAcentral's name for it is "partial 16S ribosomal RNA". It matches the Rfam family "Bacterial small subunit ribosomal RNA", at positions 28 to 507 of the family's 1533-position model. The record is from RNAcentral.